Molecule: transfer RNA, 87 nt
Filed under: Granulosicoccaceae sp. 1_MG-2023
Lineage: Bacteria; Pseudomonadati; Pseudomonadota; Gammaproteobacteria; Chromatiales; Granulosicoccaceae
Description: tRNA-Leu
Rfam family: tRNA
About the family: Transfer RNA (tRNA) molecules are approximately 80 nucleotides in length. Their secondary structure includes four short double-helical elements and three loops (D, anti-codon, and T loops).
Source: RNAcentral
GCCGGGGUGGCGAAAUUGGUAGACGCAGCGGAUUCAAAAUCCGCCGGGCUAACCCCCGUGUCGGUUCGAGUCCGACCCUCGGCACCA